Molecule: non-coding RNA, 183 nt
Organism: Pseudoalteromonas luteoviolacea B = ATCC 29581
Lineage: Bacteria; Pseudomonadati; Pseudomonadota; Gammaproteobacteria; Alteromonadales; Pseudoalteromonadaceae
Source: Rfam
CGUUCCCUCGCUCGUAGGACAGUUGAUUAAGUCCCUGAGCCGAUACUUUUCUUUUAGGAAUGCAGUUUGCUUGCUAUUGAGCAGGCUCGGCAUGUACCGAGAAGCCUACGGUGGGCUGUUGCUUUCCGCCUUGAACCUUAGGGUUCAAGGGCUGACAUCAGCAUCCGCGACGCUUGGGAACAC